Molecule: non-coding RNA, 24 nt
Filed under: Arabidopsis thaliana (thale cress)
Lineage: Eukaryota; Viridiplantae; Streptophyta; Magnoliopsida; Brassicales; Brassicaceae
Source: RNAcentral
UACUGUUGUUGGGACCUCCGCCGG